GAGCUGCACUUUGAAGGAUGAACGGGAACUGGCUAGAAGGAUAGGUGGACAGAACGGCAGGUGCAAAGGUGGAGAGGCUAUGAGUGCAUGGCAUGUUCUGGUAACAAAGGACAAGAUGUUUGCCCGGCUGGAGUGCAGGGAUUGCCAGGGAGGGGCCUAGAUAAGGCUGUAUCCGAAGAUGGAGCUGGGUCUCUGGCCAAGGCCACUCCAGAUAUCCUAGUUCCAGCCACCAUGCUCUCUCGCCUGGACCAUUGCAGCAGCCUCUAACCAGUGUCCCCGCAGUCCUCCUUGCCUCCCCCUCCCCCAAGCAUCUCCGCAAAGCAGCCUGAGUUACCCGUUGAACAUGUGCUGGGAUCAUGUCACUCACCUACUUCAACUUCCUGUGACCUCCCACUGCAUGUGGAAGAAGACGGGAGAUGUCUCAACCUGGCCACAAGGCCUGCAUAAUUUGGCCCUCACCUCUUCUUACUCCUCAGACUCUUCUUGGCUCCCAACUAUGCUCUUUGGAGAGCCUAGUGUCUCCCAGCCUCAGGGUGCUUCAGUUUGCUGUGCUGGCUCCCUGGAAUGUUCUUCCGAAAUGUUGGCAUGACUCCUUCUUCCUGUCAUUUGAGUCUCCCCUUCUUGAAGAGGCUCCUCUCAGAACGCCAGCGCCACAGACAGGACCUUGUCUGUCCUGUUCCGCCUAUUUCCAGAGCUAGAACAGGCCUUGGCAUAUGGUAGAGCCUCAAAUAUUUGUUGACUGGACAGGAAUGGAUUCUAUUCAAGAAAACCCUUACCCGGCCAUCCUCCCAGAACUCAGCUUCUUCCCAAGCCUAGGAGGGGUGCUCAAGGGUGGCCCCAAAGGAUGCUGGGGAACACCCAACCGUCUGGGUAUCAGGAGCCUCUGAAGCCUCUGCCAGGGCCUGGAGGGUCAGUGCCUCCUGGCUAACUGGAAAGAAGCCCCUCAGGCAGAUGCAGACCCCUGGGGCUUGGCUGAGCAGAAAGUGCCUUUGUCAGGAGGAAGCGGGCCUCUUUCUCUGGAGAGGGGCAGCCCAGCCAGGACACAAGGCUAGGUGAGUGGAGGCCUCCUGGAUGGGGCUCGUUUGUGUGGCGACAACUUCUCAGCCAGCCAAGACAGCCCUGGAACCCCCUCUCCUCCCACUUUGGCUCCAGAGCAUCCCUAUCUGUAGGGCACUGCUGGGAGGGUGCCCAGGAGAGCAAGACUUAGUCCUUGGACACGAGGCAUCAGAUCCACCUGGGAGAACAGGCCUGCCUCCUGCAGGCUCACGUGGGAGGCAGUGGCCGCCCCAGCAUGUAGACCUCACAACCCUACUGCUCAAGAGGUGGGGCCGAGCUCCUGGCCCACUUUUGUGCACCAACCAUUUGGAUCCCAUUCCUUCUCUUUGCUGAUUCCAAGGAUUUAUGCCUCAAGGUGCAUCUUAAAAAACAACAAACAAAUAAAACUUAAAGAAGGCAAGAAACCAAAUUGCAAAUCAAAGCAAGAGUCUUUGGGUGCUGGCUCAUAGAGGGCUCAGUUCUAGCCCUCUUUCCUUGUGACUGUACUGUUCCCCGGUCUCAUGCCCACCACACUGUGUGUAAAACAUCCCCUGAGUGCAGACACCGGAGCUACAGGAGAAACAAGCUGCCCACAGCGGGCUGCCUAUGUUUCCAGACUCCUAUCCGUUCCAGCCAGUUUGAUUCCUCCCAAAGGAAACUGAUAUCAGGUCCCGCUAUGGCCUGUGCUAAUAGACUGUCUGCUUAUGGAGUUAACAAGCAGAAUUGCUAAUGUGCCAUUCUUGACUUCCAGGAUAAAGCCUUAACGGAAAAAAAGGCAACUUGCAGAACAAUAUGCAGCUCCCACUUUUUGAGAACCGAUUUUUAAAAUAUAUCUUAUGGGUGUAUAGAAAAAAGUUAGGAGGAAUACACACCGAACUGUGAACAAUGGCGCUGCCCUGGUAGGAAGGCAGAAAACUUGCACUUUAAGUGUAUACACUUACGUAUAUUGCACUUUUCUUUUUAAUCCUCACCCGAGGAUAUGUUUUUAUUGAUUUUAAGAGAGAGAGGAUGGGAGAGAGAAACAUCUAUCAGUUGCCUCCUGCAUGUGCCCUGACUGGGGAUCAAACCCAAAACCUAGGUAUGUGCCCUGACCUGCAAUUGAACCCAUAACCCUUUGGUGUACGGGACAAGGCUCCAACCAAUUGAGCACCCGGCUAGGGCGUAUAUUGGACUUUUUAAACAGACAAGUAUGUGUUUAUUACUUUUAUAGCUUUAUAAACUAUAAAAAUAUUUUAAAUCACAUUAAAUUUAUAGUUUUAUAAUUUUUAUAGUUUUAUAAACUAUAAAAUGCUUUAAAGUCACCUUAAUGUACUCUACAAAUAUAUAAUGUUACAAUAGAUUCCAUAGCUUUGUAAAUAACUUCAAAAUACUUUUUAAUGGCCAUAUUUUUUAAAUUAAAAAAUCUGGAAACAUGGUCUAAGAAUGAAUAGUUUUCUGAUUUGUGAAUUUGAAUUUGCUCAUAUGGGAACCAUACCUAGUUAUAGACACUAAAUCACAUUCUGUUCUACAGAUAACAAGUCAUCUUUAUUUUAAAUGAGAAAAGCUCAUUUAUUUAUAUAUAAAGAACUACAAAUCAAUGUGAAAAAGAAUCAUAAUUCAAAAGAAAGUGGGUGUACACAGUUUAUUUUAACCAAUAGUAAAUGCAAAUGAUUUUAAACAUGUUUAAAAGUGCUAAGACUCUGAAUAAAAGAUAUGCAAAUUAAAACUAAACUAAUAUGACAGGUCAAGUUGAAAACCUUUGAUAAUGUGCCAUCCUGAUAAAUAGGUACAGCAAACAGGUAGGGUAUACUGAAGCAUCCUCUUUGGAGGGCAUUUUAGCAAUACCUGUCUAAUUUAAAGGUGGAUUUGCCUUUCACCAGAAAUUCCAUUUAUAGAAAUUUAAUCCCAGAAGCUCUCAUAUGUACAUGGAGGGGUCCAUACAGGGAUAUUGACCAGAACAUUGUUUAUAAUUGCAAAAGACUGGAAACAAUGGAAUGUCUGUCUAUUAAUAGAAGACUAGUUAAAUAACCAUGAGAUAGUUGGUUAAUAAUCCUCUGUGUUCCUGUUAAACAGGAGGGGGAAAAUCUGUGUGAACACAUAUGAAAAGAGCUCCGAUACACACACACACACACACACACACACACACACACACACACACACACACAUACAGUGCAGAGUACUUUUCCACUUCUGUAACAAGGGGGAGGCUCUACCUACAUGCUUAUCUCUGCCUAGAACAUCUCAGAGGGACACAUAAACAGGGAAACUAGAGGACUUGGGUCAGAAAAUCUUAUUAUAGCUCUGGCUGGUUAGCUCAGUUGGAUGGAGUGUCAUCCUGAUACGGCAAGGUUGCAGAUUCGAUCCCCAGUCAGGGCACAUGCAGGAAUCAACCAAUGGCUGCAUGAAUGAGUGGAACAACAAAUCGAUGUUUCUUUCUCUCACUCCCUCUCUCUCCAAAAUCAAUCAAUAAAUACAAUUUUUAUAAAAUUUUAAAUUAUACAUUAAGAUAAAUUAAAAGGAUUAAACAAUAAUUAAAUAAGGAAUUGGGGAUUGCUCCAAAAAUUCCAAAACAUAUGAUUGCUAAAUAUACCCUGAAAACACUAGCCUUAGGAUGAGAAGGGAGUUUAGUUUUUAUAUAAUUAAACAGAAUUAAAUAAUCAUAAAAACCCAAACAACACUGUGUUUUUUCAUUGUUAUCUCCAAUAAAAUUUACAGUUCCUGUAAAACUCUUAUACAACAUGAGCCCAUUUCCCUCAAAUAUGGAACUGAGUUUCCUGUCCAUAUUGAUUUAGCAGUUCAGGGACUUCGGGCAGGGCAGGGUUAUCCCCUUUCACAUCCCUCCAAUUGGUUCCGUCUCUACCAUUUUCAGUCAAAAUUCCAAAGGUCACUUGGAAAGCACAUAACCCACUAAGCUGCCAGACACUCCCUUUUGGCUAGAUAACCCCCCACGGCCCAGAUCCCAGUGCAGAGUCCUGGGAACCAGGGAAGCGCUGUUAUAAAACCCUUGUCUACUUGGCCAGCAAUUGGAGGUGAUGCUGAACAAAUUGAGAGUUUCAGCAAGCAUAUCUUUAGAAUCCAAUUUUUAUUAUAAUUGAUUAGAAAAUCUAGCUUACAUUCCACAUGCAGUCACCUAAUCAUCGCCAAGGUGUAAUAACAGUUAAACGAAAACCAGUAUGAGUCAUGCUCCUAUAAAACUGUCUGCUUACAGAGCUUGGCUUUCUCUGAACGGGGGAAACUUGAAGUCAGGCAGCAGAGGAAGGGGUUGUCCUGGCCUCUUGCUGGGAGAGAUUAUUACGAGAAAAGCAGGUCACACGGGAUCUGCCCAGUGGCUCAUGGACAUGGAGUGAGCACAUUGAUUGAAGUCUUUGGUUGCCCGGCACCAUUUGAACACCCUCCCACCGUCCAGGGAUGUCCCCCCAGAACACUCUCUCACAGCCUCCCUCCCAGCUGGGAUGAGGCCUGGGUGAGAGACUUGAGGAUCUGACACACGCACUGGUGAGAGCCAUCAGGGCAUGAGCGAGAGAGGCGAAGGGCAGGUCAGUGUCCGGGGUGCUGUGAGCAUUGUAAGCAGCCACAUAGCCUCCACGUGGAUGCUCUGUCCUCCUAGGAACUUUGCUGACUUCCUAACAUCCUCGUGAGCUCUUCUUCAACUUAAUUCUCUGUAGUUAGAGUGGAUUUUGUCGGUUAUGCCUACCUGGGAUAGGCCUUUGACUUGGAUGACUAAUGAGAACUAGUCACAGAUAAAAGUCACAGAUGACUCCUUCCAUCUUCUCUCUGCAGCUACGGCCUUGGUCCUGAUUCCUUACCUUCUUUGCAAGCCAGGUCUCUUAGCCAGAUUGAAAGAAAACAGGCUGUGGAGUGAGCUACCCAUCUGAAUACCAUUCAUGCCCAGUGGCUUUGAUCUGUAGCUUCACCUCUCGCGCUCAGUUUACUCAUCUGUAAAACGGGUUUAAUAAGGCCACCUUCCCCACAGAGGAGUUGUGAGGAGUAAAUAGAAUAACCCAUUAAUAGCACUUGGAUACAUGUUGAGGAUUAGUUCUCCCAAUAAAGAAACAAAGUAAGACUAAUGUGGGGAGUUAGAAAAUUCCUUAUUGUAUGGAAUAAAAAUAAAAACCCCAUUAACAACAGCAUCAAGGAAUCCUAGCUAUUUUCUUUCUGGCCAUAGACUUCUUUAGAAUAAAUCCAUAAAUAUCUAAUAAUAAAUCCAACCAUAAACUCUAGACAAAAAUCUUAAAAUCAGCUACCUGGAGAUACUGUAGAAUGAAAAACAAGCAGGCAGAUACUGGUGGGAAGUUGACAUUUGGAAGAAAAGGACAUCGCAGAGUAAAUUUCUUUCUUCUGAAGUAGCAUUUAGCCCGAAGGCAGGCCCCAGUCUGUGCAUGUAGGACAGCUAAAAUUCUGGCAGAAAAAUCUGCAAUACUAUUAUUGGCUUGAUGAACCAGAGGACACAGCUCAGGGCAACCACAGUCACUGGAAAGUGGGGAGGGGAAUCCAAGAAAGGAGACAGGAGCCCAAGCAAUAUAAAUGAACUUAUGUAGUUGCAAGCUUUCUACAAUUUAUGUGAAGUGUUGCAAUACAAACUCUUAGCAGUAUGAAAAGUUAUGGAUGUAUAUUGUAACCCUGGGGCAAUAAAAUAUAAGGCAAAGAGAUAGCUACAAAGCCAAUAGAAAAAUUAAAUUGAAUCAUAAAACAUUCAGUUAAUUAAAAGGAAGAAAGAGAAGCAGAAAAAAUAACAGAAGGGAAAAA
Myotis daubentonii (Daubenton's bat) is the source of this 5760-nucleotide long non-coding RNA. RefSeq lists it as uncharacterized. Lineage: Eukaryota; Metazoa; Chordata; Mammalia; Chiroptera; Vespertilionidae. The record is from RefSeq and is a predicted model, not a curated record.